AACGAACGCUGGCGGCAGGCCUAACACAUGCAAGUCGAGCGCGCCCUUCGGGGUGAGCGGCGGACGGGUGAGUAACGCGUGGGAACGUGCCCUUCUCUGCGGAAUAGCCUCGGGAAACUGAGAGUAAUACCGCAUACGCCCUUUGGGGGAAAGAUUUAUCGGAGAAGGAUCGGCCCGCGUUGGAUUAGGUAGUUGGUGGGGUAAUGGCCCACCAAGCCGACGAUCCAUAGCUGGUUUGAGAGGAUGAUCAGCCACACUGGGACUGAGACACGGCCCAGACUCCUACGGGAGGCAGCAGUGGGGAAUCUUAGACAAUGGGGGCAACCCUGAUCGAGCCAUGCCGCGUGAGUGAUGAAGGCCUUAGGGUUGUAAAGCUCUUUCAGCUGGGAAGAUAAUGACGGUACCAGCAGAAGAAGCCCCGGCUAACUCCGUG
Molecule: ribosomal RNA, 433 nt
Filed under: uncultured bacterium
Lineage: Bacteria
Description: partial 16S ribosomal RNA
Rfam family: Bacterial small subunit ribosomal RNA
Source: RNAcentral